RNAcentral lists this ribosomal RNA (254 nucleotides) under uncultured bacterium. RNAcentral's name for it is "partial 16S ribosomal RNA". It matches the Rfam family "Bacterial small subunit ribosomal RNA", at positions 524 to 776 of the family's 1533-position model. The record is from RNAcentral.
UACGUAGGGGGCGAGCGUUGUCCGGAUUCAUUGGGCGUAAAGCGCUUUAAGGCGGUUCGCUAAGUCGCGUGUGAAACCUCCAGGCUCAACCUGGAGACGCCACGCGAUACUGGCGUGACUAGAGUUCGGUAGGGGAUCACGGAAUUCCUGGUGUAGCGGUGAAAUGCGCAGAUAUCAGGAGGAACACCGGUGGCGAAGGCGCCACUCUGGGCCGAAACUGACGCUGAGGAGCGAAAGCGUGGGUAGCAAACAGG